Molecule: transfer RNA, 75 nt
Filed under: Rhamnusium bicolor
Lineage: Eukaryota; Metazoa; Arthropoda; Insecta; Coleoptera; Cerambycidae
Description: tRNA-OTHER
Source: RNAcentral
GGCUUCGUGGUCAAGUGGUAAGGACACUUGCUUCUCAACCUGGAGUCCCGGGUUCGAUCCCGUGUCGAGGAGCUA